RNAcentral lists this ribosomal RNA (276 nucleotides) under uncultured bacterium. RNAcentral's name for it is "partial small subunit ribosomal RNA". It matches the Rfam family "Bacterial small subunit ribosomal RNA", at positions 26 to 285 of the family's 1533-position model. The record is from RNAcentral.
AGAAUGAACGCUGGCGGCGUGCUUAACACAUGCAAGUCGCGCGCGAAAGGGGCUUCGGCCCCCGGUAGAGCGGCGAACGGGUGAGUAACACGUGGGUAAUCUGUCUGGGAGCGGGGGACAACCGUGGGGAAACUUGGGCUAAUACCGCAUACGUCCGUCGGACUUCGGUUCGGCGAGGAAAGGUGGCCUCUGCUUGCAAGCCACCACUCCCAGAGGAGCCCCGCGCCUGAUUUAGCUAGUUGGUAGGGUAACGGCCUACCAAGGCGACGAUCAGUA